Triticum aestivum (bread wheat) is the source of this 2929-nucleotide RNA transcript. RefSeq lists it as uncharacterized. The record is from RefSeq and is a predicted model, not a curated record. NCBI's taxonomy places the organism in Eukaryota, Viridiplantae, Streptophyta, Magnoliopsida, Poales, Poaceae. The transcript is spliced from 2 exons.
CCUUCGCACGACUGCCUACCCAUCCAAGCCACCGCAUACCACGCCGCAAGUCGCCUCAUGCCGCCGCCGCUCGCCCCUUUCUCUGUAGGUCGCCAACGCAACCCUGGGCCCCAGGAUCGUUCCCUCCUCCCCACCAGGCUAUUGGCUCCGCAGCGGCCGCAAUCCUGGGCAUCAGGAGCGCGCAGCCGCCGCAAUCCUGGGCAGAUCUAGCCGGGGCCGUGGGCAGCCAUCCCUCCAUCCGGGCGGCCAUGAAGAAUUGAAGCGGCUUGCGCAGAACUAGCGCAUGGACCAUGCGCGCCUCCCGCGCUAGGAGCCACCGGUCCUCGUCAUCUGCUAGCAUCCACGAGGAAUCGAUCCAUAUGUAAGCUACCUUCCACAAUAAUCCAUCCAACAGGCUGCUUGCUUGUUUGUGUACUAGUGCCAAGGGGAGCAAGAUGCAAGGACGACAUUGAGGAAUGUUUGAGGAGAGCUCGGUUAGUGUCAACACCUCAAGGGUUUAUGCAUAUCAGUUCCUUCUGCUUAAAGCCAUUGUAAUGAUGGCUACUGGUUCCAGGUAUAUGUUUAUGGAGUCAUAUGGCGCGCUCUUAUAACUUUGCCAUGGAAUGUCUAUUGUUAGAAAACAUCUUGCGAGUACUUUGGUUAGGUACUAGAAAGCACAUACACACACAUGCCCAACACAGCAACAAGCACGCACAUACAACACAACACAGAUGCUCUGCUCCUGAUUUGCCAAUAGUACGCUUAUGCUUUGCCACUCCGAAUUUUUUGCACUAUGAGCCACUUUGCAUGUGCUUGCUCAUGUAGUGACCUGAUUGACAGUUGUUUGUGUUGCCGUGUUCAAGCUCGUGCUACAGCAGCAACCCAGCAGCAAAACUCUGAGCUCAGCCAGCAGGUCAACGAAUUACACGAUCAACUACAAGCUGAACGUGCAAACACACAAGAGAGGAUUAACUUGGAGCGUGUUGAGAGAGAACAACUUCAGGAGAGGUUAGAAGAAGAGCGUGCUGAAAGGGAAAUAUUGUUGGAAGAACUGGAAUUUGAAAAAAACACGAUGUCAAAGUUUGCAAAAUGGAGCCAGCAAAUGGGAACCCGUGAUUAUAGUCAUAUGCUUGCAACCUUGUAAGAUUUAUGUUGCUUGCUUACAUUGCUAAAAGUGCACUUCUAUUUGCAGGUGCCAACGAAGAGGAUUGACAAAGAAGAUAGUAGUCCAAACUUGCAAAAUACUUUUUUUCAGAUAUCUAGUCCUAAUAAGACUCCAGGUGCAAGGCUAACUGUUAUUUCUUCAAGUGUGCUCAUACAAGCUGAACAAGGAAUUCUCAAAUGUUUAAAGCAAUGGUAAGUCAAAACCUUGAUUUCUCUUCAUGUUCACCUGCAUUCUAUACGUAUGGCCUUCAUAAUUAGCUAGCUACUUCUUCUCUUUCACCAUGUGUUGUUGCUGCAUCGAGUCACAACUUUGAAAAAACGAAUAUGUGCUAGCUAGGGACAUUAACUUAAUUGAAACUAUAGAUUGAGUCGCAACUUAAAUCAACAGCGGAUGCUUUUUGUACAUGUACUUGUGCUUAUGCUUUAGACAAUUACACUUGUCAAACUGUUCUGAUUCCUUAGUUACAUACUUGUUGACACAGUAUUACUCCAAAUAGUCUGGUGAUAAUUAUUUUUAGAGAAAAUGGCUUCUAUACCACUGAGACAAGCAUCAACUGCUCAUUUGCCAUCGAACAAAGCUUCAGUGCUCAUAUACCAGUAACAAACGAAUUCUAGUGCUCGUAUGCCACUGGCUGUUAGAACAACGUUACCUCACAGUUUUCAUAUGCCAAAAUGACUUGUUUGCCCUUAGUGGCAAAUAAGCAACAAUGAGAGAACAUAUCUAGGAAAAAACUGACAACAUUUUGCCUGUAAUUACAUCAUUUCAGCAAAACAACAGUGCACAGAUAACAGUAUCAGCAUAUAUAUACUUCAGCUACAGAAUAAUACUCAUCAAAGUUCACAUCAUUUAGAAACCAUUCAGCAAACACCAAAUUCAGUCAUGCAUAAGUAAACUCAAGUUUUCAUUCCUACCAAAAGACCACAACCGAGAGUAGGUUGUUCACAUAAGCAAAGUCUAUAGAUAAAUUAGACAUGAAGAGUUGCGAUAUGUAAAUAAUAUGUGAAAUUUUGCUGAAUAUCACAGUUUCAGCUUCUUCUUGCUUCGAGUGCUCAUUGCAGGGCUGUCAGGUGCAACAUUCCUCUUGCUUCGAGUGCCCAUUGCAGGGCUGUCAGGCGCAAUAGAUAUGGCCUUUGAUCUACAUUAAAACAUCAGAUUACAUACUAUGAUGAUCCUCGCAGAAUAUACGUUGCUAACUUACACAUUGUCAAAGAAACAUUUCAUUGAAGAUUGUGCAGCUUUCAUACCUUGUAGAUUUAGAGGUGGUCUUUGAUGAUUUCGACUUGGCGACAUUGUCUUCAAUUGCAUCACUCGGACAUAGAAGUAGAGGGAGUGCAGUUUCAGUUUCGAUUGAACAUGGAAGAACAACCUUUGUAAUGGGUUUUUUCUUUCUUUUGUCCCUGCAUUAGUUUCACAUAUUAGCAUCAUUAGGACAAGAUUAUGAUAAAAACAGUAAUAUUGAAGCAAGCACUACCUUUUUUGCUUUGCUACUUCAGCAUAGACAGCUAGUGCUUCCGGAGCAGCAUCUUUACAGCUUUGCCAUCUAUGUCCAUAGGCCUUGCAAAUUGGACAUUGGUGCUGGCCUUUAUUUCCCUUGCCCUUGCUAUUCUCGGCACCACUUUUAUGCCUCUGUACUUUUGGCCUCCCAGGGGCCCUCCUAAGGAUUGGGGGAUUCAAAAUGAAAUCUUUGUUCACACUUGGCCAUUGAGACAUGUCGGUCAGGCCAGGAAGAACAUGGGCAUAAGCUGCAGUGAACUUGGCAACGCUGUAAUAGUCAUCAACAAAAUC